This 114-nucleotide ribosomal RNA is filed under the name Acanthosepion pharaonis. The record is from RNAcentral. Lineage: Eukaryota; Metazoa; Mollusca; Cephalopoda; Sepiida; Sepiidae.
UUACGGUCAAAUCACGCUGAAACACCGGUUCUCGUACGAUCACCGAAGUUAAGCAUCGUAGAGCCAGGUCAGUACUUGGAUGGGGGACCGCUUGGGAACACCAGGUACUGUAAG